CACAACUCCAGGGCAAAACAAUAAUCCCUUGUUUGCAAUGACAACACCGGGGUGUGUGGACAGCGUCUUGUCCUCACAGGGACCCGUGUUCUGGGUAUGGAUUUGUCUUCCUCGCCUGGAGGGCUUCUACCAACACUACCGUUUCCAGAUUUAGACACUGCCCGGAUUUCCAGGUCCAGGAACCAAGGAGAGAUGAUACAGCACGAGGUUUCUGUAAGCCAGGAAGAGAGCUCUUAUCAGAACCCCAAAAUGCUGGCACCCUGAUCUCAGACUUUCAGCCCCAGAACUGCAGAACUCUGAGAAAUAAAUGUCUAUUGCUUAAGCCACC
This 328-nucleotide long non-coding RNA is filed under the name Mustela putorius furo (domestic ferret). Its description in RNAcentral is "lncRNA (ENSMPUG00000024979.1)". Lineage: Eukaryota; Metazoa; Chordata; Mammalia; Carnivora; Mustelidae. The record is from RNAcentral.